RNAcentral lists this transfer RNA (66 nucleotides) under Lomechusini gen. 5 sp. HE-2012. RNAcentral describes it as "tRNA-Leu". It matches the Rfam family "tRNA". From Rfam's summary of the family: Transfer RNA (tRNA) molecules are approximately 80 nucleotides in length. Their secondary structure includes four short double-helical elements and three loops (D, anti-codon, and T loops). Further hydrogen bonds mediate the characteristic L-shaped molecular structure. tRNAs have two regions of fundamental functional importance: the anti-codon, which is responsible for specific mRNA codon recognition, and the 3' end, to which the tRNAs corresponding amino acid is attached (by aminoacyl-tRNA synthetases). tRNAs cope with the degeneracy of the genetic code in two manners: having more than one tRNA (with a specific anti-codon) for a particular amino acid; and 'wobble' base-pairing, i.e. permitting non-standard base-pairing at the 3rd anti-codon position. The record is from RNAcentral. Lineage: Eukaryota; Metazoa; Arthropoda; Insecta; Coleoptera; Staphylinidae.
UUCUAAUAUGGCAGAUUAGUGCAAUGGAUUUAAACCCCAUAUAUAAAGUUUAACCUUUUAUUAGAA